Molecule: long non-coding RNA, 1106 nt
Filed under: Homo sapiens (human)
Lineage: Eukaryota; Metazoa; Chordata; Mammalia; Primates; Hominidae
Description: non-protein coding lnc-SPATA31A5-1:2
Source: RNAcentral
AACAAAAGCAGGGUAGGGCUCCAGCUAAGCCACGUAGGCACUACGAUGGGCAACAGAAAGGUUGGUUUCUGGGCAAUUCAGAGAAACCAAGGACAGCUACCCCCAGAACUCAGAGUAGCCAACUGGGCUGCUCACAGGAGAUGCCUUAACUGAAAGGUGAUCAGACUCCACAGGAGACCCAGAGAAGAUGUGGAGGGAGCUCAGAGGCUGUCCUGGAGGAGACGUGGAGACAGCUCAGAGGCUGUCCCAGAGAAGACGUGGAAAGAGCUCAGAGGCUGUCCCAGAGAAGACGUGGAGAGCUCAGAGGAUGUCCCAGAGAAGACGUGGAGAGAGUUCAGAGGCUGUCCCGGAGAAGACGUGGAAAGAGCUCAGAAACUCAGAGACUGUCCCGGAGAAGACAUGGAAACAGCUCAGAGGCUGUCUGCAAGAAGACGUGCAGAGAGUUCAGAGGCUGUCCCGGAGAAGACAUGGAGAGAGCUCAAAGGCUGUCCACAAGAAGAUGUGGAGAGAGUUCAGAGGCUGUCGUUACUGCUGCACUUGGCUGUUUUUCUUUGGAUAAUUAUUGCAAUCAAUUUUAGUAAUUCAGGUGUUAAAUCACAGUCAAGCACCUAUUUACCUAGUGUGGUCUGAUGAAUUUCACUUCUUUGAUACUUUUUGAGAGAGCUGAGAGUCCAUUUCCUGAGGAAGAAACUCAGAGAAAACAAAUGUAAAAUCCUUAAGUAAGUCAUAUUUGGUUGGGAAGAUCAAAGAAAUCACCCAGUCUCCCACAUCCGAAAUUGUGCAGUCCGGACUGUCAGGAACAAAAGUGAAAGAGAGACGUCAUCAAGGCCGGGCGCGGUGGCUCAUGCCUGUAAUCCCAGCACUUUGGAAGGCCAAGGAGGGCGGAUCAUGAGGUCAGGAGUUCAAGACCAGCCUGGCCAAUAUGGUGAAACCCUGUCUCUACUAAAAAUAAAAAAAUUAGCCAGGCGUGGUGGCAGGCACCUGUAAUCCCAGCUACUUGGGAGGCUGAGGCAGAAGAAUCACUUGAACCUGAGAGGCAGAGGUUGCAAUAAGCCAAGAUUGUGCCAUUGCACUCCAGCCUGGGAGACAAAGCGAGACUCCAUCUC